GCGACACCAGGACGGGCGAGGCCACCCGCCGAGUUUAAG
RNAcentral lists this ribosomal RNA (39 nucleotides) under Dichaea ancoraelabia. RNAcentral's name for it is "partial 26S ribosomal RNA". Lineage: Eukaryota; Viridiplantae; Streptophyta; Magnoliopsida; Asparagales; Orchidaceae. The record is from RNAcentral.